CAGUCGCCACGGGAAUACGUAGGGGGCAAGCGUUAUCCGGAAUUACUGGGUGUAAAGGGAGCGUAGACGGUUAAACAAGUCUGAAGUGAAAUGCCGGGGCUCAACCCCGGAGCUGCUUUGGGAACUGUAGAACUGGAGUGUCGGAGGGGUAAGCGGAAUUCCCAGUGUAGCGGUGAAAUGCGUAGAUAUUGGGAGGAACACCGGCGGCGAAGGCGGCUUACUGGACGACAACUGACGUUGAGGCUCGAAGGCGUGGGUAGCAAACAGGAUUAGAUACCCCCGUAGUCCCUGUCUCUUAUAC
Molecule: ribosomal RNA, 301 nt
Filed under: uncultured bacterium
Lineage: Bacteria
Description: partial 16S ribosomal RNA
Rfam family: Bacterial small subunit ribosomal RNA
Source: RNAcentral